Rhodoplanes sp. is the source of this 165-nucleotide regulatory RNA element. It matches the Rfam family "speF leader". Rfam says of the family: This family is a putative regulatory RNA structure that is found upstream of the speF gene encoding ornithine decarboxylase in Agrobacterium tumefaciens and other alpha-proteobacteria. The record is from Rfam. NCBI's taxonomy places the organism in Bacteria, Pseudomonadati, Pseudomonadota, Alphaproteobacteria, Hyphomicrobiales, Nitrobacteraceae.
UUGCCGGUCUCCACCGCCGGCUCGGGUAACCGAAGAGGCUUGUCCAUCCUUGCCAGCAGUGCGGUGCGGGGUCUCCCCAAUCCAAACCAAGGCAGACUGAAGCGGUCUGGAAGAGAUUACGCCCGACGUGCGUCCCCAUCGCGCACCAGGGCGAGCCUCGGACAA